RNAcentral lists this ribosomal RNA (259 nucleotides) under Staphylococcus aureus. RNAcentral's name for it is "partial 16S ribosomal RNA". It matches the Rfam family "Bacterial small subunit ribosomal RNA", at positions 1021 to 1281 of the family's 1533-position model. The record is from RNAcentral. Lineage: Bacteria; Bacillati; Bacillota; Bacilli; Caryophanales; Staphylococcaceae.
GGGGGACAAAGUGACAGGUGGUGCAUGGUUGUCGUCAGCUCGUGUCGUGAGAUGUUGGGUUAAGUCCCGCAACGAGCGCAACCCUUAAGCUUAGUUGCCAUCAUUAAGUUGGGCACUCUAAGUUGACUGCCGGUGACAAACCGGAGGAAGGUGGGGAUGACGUCAAAUCAUCAUGCCCCUUAUGAUUUGGGCUACACACGUGCUACAAUGGACAAUACAAAGGGCAGCGAAACCGCGAGGUCAAGCAAAUCCCAUAAAG